RNAcentral lists this ribosomal RNA (1283 nucleotides) under Paraclostridium bifermentans. RNAcentral describes it as "bacterial SSU rRNA". It matches the Rfam family "Bacterial small subunit ribosomal RNA", at positions 130 to 1435 of the family's 1533-position model. The record is from RNAcentral. Lineage: Bacteria; Bacillati; Bacillota; Clostridia; Peptostreptococcales; Peptostreptococcaceae.
GUACACCCGGCUAACAUACCGAACGGUAUCCUUGCACGUUUUAACUUACAUCCCUCGUUAGGAUUCCUUUUCAAAGCUCCUCCGUGUGUACAUGGACCCGUACCCGCUUAGCUCUCACCCUUCCGCUGGCUUACCAAGGCAACGAUCAGUAGCCGACCUGAGAGGGUGAUCGGCCACACUGGAACUGAGACACGGUCCAAAUUUCUACGGGAGGCAGCAGUGGGGAAUAUUGCACAAUGGGCGAAAGCCUGAUGCAGCCACGCCGCGUGAGCGAUGAAGGCCUUCGCCCCGUAAAGCUCUGUCCUCAAGGAAGAUAAUGACGGUACUUGAGGAGGAAGCCCCGGCUAACUACGUGCCAGCAGCCGCGGUAAUACGUAGGGGGCUAGCGUUAUCCGGAAUUACUGGGUGUAAAGGGUGCGUAGGUGGUUUUUUAAGUCAGAAGUGAAAGGCUACGGCUCACCCGUAUUAAGCUUCCUGAAACUAAAGAACUUGAGUGCAGGAGAGGAGAGUACAAUUCCUAGUGUAGCGGUGAAAUGCGUAGAUAUUAGGAGGAAUACCAGUAGCGAAGGCGGCUCUCUGGACUGUAACUGACACUGAGGCACGAAAGCGUGGGGAGCAAACAGGAUUAGAUACCCUGGUAGUCCACGCCGUAAACGAUGAGUACUAGGUGUCGGGGGGUUACCCCCCUCGGUGCCGCAGCUAACGCAUUAAGUACUCCGCCUGGGAAGUACGCUCGCAAGAGUGCAACUCAAAGGAAUUGACGGGGACCCGCACAAGUAGCGGAGCAUGUGGUUUAAUUCGAAGCAACGCGAAGAACCUUCCCUAAGCUUGACAUCCCACUGACCUCUCCCUAAUCGGAGAUUUCCCUUCGGGGACAGUGGUGACAGGUGGUGCAUGGUUGUCGUCAGCUCGUGUCGUGAGAUGUUGGGUUAAGUCCCGCAACGAGCGCAACCCUUGCCUUUAGUUGCCAGCAUUAAGUUGGGCACUCUAGAGGGACUGCCGAGGAUAACUCGGAGGAAGGUGGGGAUGACGUCAAAUCAUCAUGCCCCUUAUGCUUAGGGCUACACACGUGCUACAAUGGGUGGUACAGAGGGUUGCCAAGCCGCGAGGUGGAGCUAAUCCCUUAAAGCCAUUCUCAGUUCGGAUUGUAGGCUGAAACUCGCCUACAUGAAGCUGGAGUUACUAGUAAUCGCAGAUCAGAAUGCUGCGGUGAAUGCGUUCCCGGGUCUUGUACACACCGCCCGUCACACCAUGGAAGUUGGGGGCGCCCGAAGCCGGUUAGC